AGAAUACCGAUUCUUCCAGAUUUCACAAUCGGACAAACAGUGUUCGAAGUGGAUUCCAUUUUGGGAUUACAGUUUUGCCCUGAAUAGUCGAAUAUAUAAGAGGGAUCUCCGGUACUAUCCUAAUUCGAGAAGCCUCCAUUGUCGUCAGCAUCUGCUUUUAGCCGACAUCAAACUUCUCCGUCAAGAUCAACAUCAGCACAGACUUGGGAUCCAUUCACGUGCUAUUGUCAUGAUUGAAACAAAAAGAAGAAGACCUUUGAGUAAUUCAAAGGAAUUCAAGAUGUGGAAUUUAUAUAAGGGGUUCAAACCAGGUGGGUCUUCUCUGGCCCAUACUUUUGGUUUAGUUUGGAUUCUUACAUAACUUGCCGGAAAUGAUCAGAAAAAAAGUGUUUAGGCACCAGUACAAUGGCCAGCAGUGUCCAACAGCUAUGGCUGGUUGCUUCUUAUGAAUUACAUAUUGGCUAAAAGCAUUUCAGCAAGUCAGGUAGAUAUAUGGCGCCUGUCGCAGCUAAAGGGACAUUCUACACCUCAAGAUGUUUGCCAAGAUUUUGCACCAGUGGCAAAGAAUGAUGGAAGAAGCAACUUUCAAAUUAAGACAUUUGUAAAUGCCAUAGCAGCACCGAUGUAACUAAUUGGAUCAAAAUCGCUCAUGUAUGUAUCUGGUUAACAUACCAGAUUUUCAAAUCUGUAAAAGAUACUCUGAUUACGGACAUAAUAUUUUGAACGUUUGUUUUUGUUGUAGUUAAACUUAUAACCAACCCGCAGCAUCACGCAGAAUUGAUCUCUAUCGUUGUCUACAUGAGCAAUUACUCUCCUGAACAACAGUAAUGUUAUGAGAUCAGGGAUACCAUGUAAUAUUAUGUAAUAAUUUCU
Molecule: long non-coding RNA, 873 nt
Organism: Rosa chinensis
Lineage: Eukaryota; Viridiplantae; Streptophyta; Magnoliopsida; Rosales; Rosaceae
Exons: 6
Source: RefSeq, a predicted model, not a curated record